This 13878-nucleotide long non-coding RNA is filed under the name Phoenix dactylifera (date palm). RNAcentral's name for it is "long non-coding RNA (PDAC_LNC001369)". Lineage: Eukaryota; Viridiplantae; Streptophyta; Magnoliopsida; Arecales; Arecaceae. The record is from RNAcentral.
UUUGUGUUUCGUUUCGUUUCAUUUCGUUGGUGAGGUGUUUGUGUGUUCAUGAGGAUCCACAUGAAAGAGAUUGUUUAAUGCAAAGGUGGCAGCACAUCCAGCUUAAUUUGCAGCAGCAUUGGCCUUUUCUUUCUUCUCUUGGCGCUUUCGGCUUUGCUCUUUGUUUAGCGGGUUUAAUCAGGCUUUGGUGUGCCCAUGGAUGGAAAUUUCUUGGCUCCACUAAAUAUAUGUUGAUGUUUUUGACCUUAAUGGUCCAGUUUAUUUUUAAUGAAAUACACCGGAAAGCCCACCACAAAGUUUUGAAUACUAGUAUAACAAAUCAGAAUUUCAUCUAAAAUGACUAGCCGAAAGGUAUAUGUAUAAGUAUCUAAAAUCUAUCCAAUAAAUAACUAAUAUGAGAUUAAGCACAUGUCCGCAUAAGUACUCAGCCACAACCAAGCCCUUGCUAAACGAAGAGGGAUGUUGACCGGCGAAGCUGUGAUUGGUUGAUGGAUUCUAAUACAAUUUGAAUGGCAUCAUUCAUGUACAAGAUGAGCUCAUUGAAAUUUAUUAACUCGGGUGCAGAUCCAUUUCCUUGGUGAUAGGAUCUGGCAACUUUCUUUGCCAUUGAUAGUGCUGGUUGGUACGCAAUCUUUUCUUGGAUUCGUUCUACCGAUGUCUUUGUUUUGCUUUAACCAUUGGUGUAAGUCACUUGAUAUCAUACACACGAGAACAAUGGGUUGCUAACCUUCACAUGAGAGAAGUUUUCCCAAGUAUAGUGGAUAAAGUUUCUCGAGCUCUGUCGGUAGUGAAUUAUUGAGGAAGAAUCAAGGCAAAAAAUAAUUAAUUCAAAGUUAAAGAAGAAAACGAUUUGAUGACGUUAGGAUGCGAACUUUGCUGAAUAUUCGCCAAAUCACUAGUAAGGGUCUCUUUCCAAGUAAUCCAAAUUGUUGCAAUCCGACAGUGCCAUGUCACAUGUAGAUUGCGUGCCAAGUUAAUCAGCCAUAGAGUUCCAAAUCAAUGCAUAACGAAGGUGCUCUUUAUGAAUUUAGUGAAGAGAAGGGAAGGUCACAUCCUAGCAGAUGAAAACUUGAGAUCAAGUACAGUUUGACAAUGUUUAAUCCUCCAGGCAUGGACUCAUAUGUUGUUGCUAAAGCUUCCAUCAAUCCCAGUCUGAAUUAUGCUAACUAAUCCCGGAUAAAACAAAGCCUAAUUCCCUUAACAUCGUAUACUGCUGAUCUACUAAUGUGGUACCAAACAAUUUUAGCUAUGACCGAACUUAUCUUCAUCUAAAAUUCGCCACCUGCAGGACGAUACUUUUUCCCUGUGGGUACCAGCAAGCACUUGGAAUAUCCUUGUGUCAUUGAGGAUGGAUGGAAUUAGGUAAAAUAUUCUAGUGGGAAAGGCGCACUAUGGAUCCUCUGAUGACAUUUUUUUUGGGUUGGGGCCACUCGGUGAGGCGAUGUUGUUCUCAGUGUCACUGUGGAAGAGUGACAAGCGGACGGCAAAACGGCAAAGCAUGCUUUGCCCUGUCUGAACCUCAAUGCAUGCUCGCAAAUACUCGUGGCCAUGACAAUGACCCCAAGUUUGUUCCUCCGAACCAUGUCUUGGAAUCUUAAGGAUGCAACCUUUGCAAAUUCUCACAGUAUUCGCCCCGUCCUCUUGCAUGCUGCAUGCAGCUUCAAUUCCUCGAAAAAAUUUAAGCAUUCAGACUAAGGUAUGCCAUCUUGGUAUUGGAUCCUGUACCAGUGCCACCUUGUUACUGCAUCGGAAUGUCCGAUAUGGAGGUCGGUUCAGUAUACCGAGUACCGGUAUGUCUCCCGUACCACAUAUACCGGUAUUGAAUCGGUAUGCUACGAUAUGCUUCAUACCAUUCGAUUCCAUACGAUAUGGCGUAUCUUGAUUUAGACAGUAUAAGUGGAUAAAUUCCGGCUUGAAUGAAGACUAAGACUAGAGAAACUCUAAUGUGGACUAGAGAAACUCUAAGCGUGCCCAAACCCAUCCAAAAGAAUUGCAAAUGAGAAGGUAAUUUGCAUAAUGAAUUGCUUUGAGUAAUCUCUCAUUGAGUAGAUUAAAAUGAAUCUAUUGGGAUCUACAACCCAGAAGUAGUGGAUAAUAGGAGAGGAGUAUCUUGAGAUGAAGGGAUUGCUAUGUGCAUGUCAAGUUUCCUUAGUUGCCGCAAAAUGUAAGGAAUUUUUAUAAUUCCUAGGAAUUGAUAUGAUACACAUAUGGCAUAAUUGAAUGCUAAAUCGAACAAGCCGGGAAAAAGUAGGCUUGAUGAACUUCUAGUGUGCAGUUUGCACUAAUAGAAGCCAAGAGCAUGGCUGAAAUUUAAAUUUCAAACUAAAAUUUUAAAAUUAUUGACUAGGUUCGGGGUGCCAAGUAGUUCAACUGAUGAAGCAACUAGGAUAGGAUGCUAGUUUAUAUCUACCUAGCUCCUCAAUCUAAUCAAUAAUUGUUUUUAGAUGCUUUUUUUCUUUGAUGUGAUUCAAAGGAGUCAAAAGAACAAAUCAUGAAAUAUAAGACAUUCUAAUCCAUAGAGGAAUAGGUCCACCACUUCGUGGUGGUGCAUUCCUAUUAGACACAUCAAAUUAAAGUUUGAGACAUGCGUUAACCAAACCCUAUCUAUCCCUAAAUUGACAAAUUCCGCAUCAACAGUCCUAGGGUCAAAAAGCUACAGCGCCGAGGCCGAAGGCCACUUUGGUGCACCAACUUUGGCAUCCCCUUGGGUCCCCCGAAGGAGACUAAGCCAAAGACGUACCAUCAUACCUCCCCCAGAUGGAUAGCACAUUCCACCGGAGGCUGCAGGGGAUAUCAUGCGAAUCUCCCAGAUCGAAUGCAGGCAAGAUGCCGGGAUAUCGUCCCAUCUCGAGGCCAGAUUCCUCGUUAGUCGUUAAUCGUUAUCCAGGAUCUGAGAUAGUGUUUGGAGAGCCAUGAUAUCGACCCCUCUGCGGGCGACACUUCCAUUGAAAUUUGGAACAUGUCAAGUCAAAUUGCAAUCCACACGGACCAAUCCUUUAGUGUCAUGGGGAGCAAACUCUGGAUAUCUGGGAUUAGGGAGGAUAUGUCGCGUAGGGUCACCACCUAGUCGGAAUAGCACUGAUGGGUGUCGGGCGUGGGCGCGGACGACAUGCAUGUACAAGUGAUGGAAUUCGAGUCAGUUUUAGCUGUGAUAGUGCUGAACCCUGUCCUUGCCAGGGACAUAAGGGUCUCAGUUUCGAGCACCAAGUCGCCUAUACUCCCAAAUGAUGGACCCAAGCUUAGCUUUCCAUCUCUAAUAAGCUGACUUGAUGAUUGCUUGGAAGACUCAAAGCAAUGCAGGCUCCCCCCCUGGGUCCAUCUCCCUAACAUUUUAAUUGGUGCUAUUCCGUGCUCGUCUAUUCGGACCAUGUGACCUGCACUGCGACGAUGGUUGCUUAUUGGCUGGGAUAUUCAAUUACUUUGCUAUCCAAAUGAUCAUGAAACCGUUCGCUUUAUAUCGUGUUUGAAAUAAGUUGAUGACUCGGUUUAUCCUAGUAUUGGCUGCGAUAUCAACACUUAAAAGACCAUGAUGAUUGGUUGGGUAAAGGCAUCGAGUAAUGCCAAGUGAUGCUAAGAUUUUCUUGCCCUAUGUCAUGAGGAGAUCGGUGUAAUGAUUUCUGGUGCAAUGCACAUGAGGUGGUUGAAUAUUAGAUUGUCACGCCAGUACUGUUGAGCUUGAGAAUUUUUUUUGUUGAUUUUCCACCACCCUACGAUUGCCAUUCUCACAAGAUAUUGUCUGAGGUGAUAUCUGCAUAUUACUUGUUGCCACCAAUUAUUCAAUAGGCUUUGCUCAGGGAUUUGAGUUUCCGAAGGAAAGGGGGGAGGGAAAAUUUGAUAUACGAACUUAGAUUUGCCAUCAAGCAGCUAAAGCUUCUUGUUUGGUCAUUUGAGUAGCAUAAUAAAAUACGCACCAAAAAAAUCACUUGAUAGAUUAAUUCUGAAACUUUAUUUUAAGUUCUGUUAUUUUCGUAAGCAUGCGAUUGUAAUAAACCAAGUGGGUAAGUCGUGAAUAGGGAUGCCAAUGGGUCGAGUUAGAAUAGGAUAUGCUUGGCCCCGAUCUAACCCGAUUUCAUGUAUGAGUUCUAAUAUUGGACUUGGAGCCAAUGUAAUGGAUGAUUAGGUUGGGUUGGAUAUAUGAAAAGUAUUUUAGACUCAACAGGUCGUUUCGAUUGGGUAAAAGAAAAUUUUGUUCUUGUCUCAUAAUAUGGAAAAAGAAGAAAUGACUUGAAAUACUAUCUUCUAGUCAAUUCUAGCUGGGUCAAGUCAGGUCAAGCUAGAUUGGGUAACUAAUAGGAAACUCUAAAAUUAUAGAACCAUAUAGUGUACAUAUAAGAUCGAUUGGGUUAGAUCAAAAUUUAUGGAAAUCAGACCCAACCUGAAAUGUGGAAUGGGCCUAAUAUUUGAAACCGACCUAGCCCCGUAGGUCUUCAAGAAUGGGUCGGGUUGGGUCAUGGGCCAAUCCAACCCAUUUGCGUCCUUAGUUGUGGAGCUGCUUUCUGUCAGGAUGCCGGUUGUAAGCCCCUUUUUUUUAAGCUGUCAUAAUAAUCGUUUUUGCCUUUUGUCAGAAUAAAAUUGAGUUCGCCACUUCGGGGCUCAGUAUGAAAUUUGUUAUAUACCAAUAUCCUGUUAGGAGGUUGGAAGGUUGACUCCUAGGGGCAAGGCAAACCAUAGAUCUUCUGAUGACUUCUGUUUGGCCUCUUCGUGUGACAGAGAGAUUCUCUGGCCACUUCGCAACUAAAUGACAAGGAAAUUGACCCAUUGGACGUUAAGGCAUGCAUGUUUUGCCCCGUGUGCAUGGAUGUCCUUCAUUGCCUUGCUAUGAGUCAUUAUCUGAGCACUAAUAUCAUCAUUAAUAUCUUUGGACAUUUCUGAGGUGCAAUUAAUUACAUGGAUGUUUAGAAAAUUCGAUUGUGUUGUUUAAGAUUAAUUUCAAGUAAUAUUGUUUCCCUAAACAUGUGAUGAUUGUAUCAUAAGUGGACUCGGUAAGUAAUGCCCACCACAACCGUGAAGCUGCCUGCUAGGCUUGAUAAGUUCUGGUUGGUAGCAUUCUUGCAAGCCUUGUGCCAUUUUGAAAUAGGUCAGCUAGAUCAAAGUAAGACGCAAGCAUGAGAAAAUUCCGACAGUCGGAUCUCAAAUCUCAACAUUUUGUGUAAGUAGUGCCGAUUUAUUUGUGACAAGAAUUGAAUAAGAGAAGUAUCUUUCUUUCUUUUUUUCUUGAAAAAUUUGUUUUGAUUUAUCAGUUGCAACAAUUGAUUAAGAGAGAAGAUUGCUAGUUUGCUGCAAAGAUAGGACAUGCAAUCCCAUUGCUAUCAGUCCAAGGGUCGAGAUUGUAACAAACUAACCAUUUAAUUAUUCCUUCGUGUCACAAAAGAAAAUAGCAUAUCUCCGAACCUCCACAGAUUUUUUGAAAUAUCUGUUGAGUUCCAUUCAGGCACCGAGAGAAAAUCGUUGCAUCUCAAGGCCUUUUAUUUAUUUAUUUAUUUUGUUCGCGUGGUCUUAACAUGUUGCGCUUAAUGGUUAGUUGUUUGAAGCAACAAUCUGUAUUCCAUGGCUCUAAGAGCUGGUGCUCUCUUGGUUAAGGAGGCCUCUACUACAAUUAUUGGCUAGAUCCUGAGACAGACAAUGGAGGGGUGUACGCAUCUCCUACUUCAGGACAUAUAGAGUUCAGCAAGAGGAUGCAUCUUCUUUGGAGUGAGAUACAUCUACCAGAAGGCGAAUGGGCAGCAGAUUGGAUGGUCUCCUUUGUGACUGACCACUCCGAUGGGAUGCUCCGGAUCAAUGUGAUGUUUUCUCCGAGGGCUUUUUGAGACAUGUUGCUUUCUAACUCUGUUGGAUGUAUUCACACAAAAGUUGCGUGGAACGUCCCUCUUAGGAAAAAAAUAUACUGGAAUCCAGAGGUCUAUCUUUCUUUUUAUUUCUUUCUUUUCAUUUUUUUAUUUAGAUUAGGAGGAGCUAAUGCCCACCCUUUAUGUCCAUCGGACGCUCUGCUGCCCUGUUCCCUUGCCCAAAUAGUAAGGGAUGAUACCGUCCGAGCAAAGGCUUGGUAGUUCCAUGGUUCUACCGUUUGAAGCUAUGCGAUUCAGUUGGACUGACUCAAUUGGCUUAGAGGCCUACCUUCGCCUUACGCCUUGGCUACAAAAUGAUUCAGGCCAACGUUUUUUUUCGGCCCUUUUGAGUAGGCUGCAUUUAGCCCAAACAAAGCCAAACAAAUUUCGUGCGGAAGCCUGGCCCACCUCCUUUAGGCCCAUCCCCUAACGCUAAGGGGUUUGGACUGUUCCGAUCUCUAUAUCAUAUUGCUAGAUCUUAAAACAUGCACGCGAACGGCUGUGGUUAAAUUUUUUUUCUUAUUUUGUUGUAAAAAUACAGAUUUCUUUUUCUCUGUUCUUUUUAAUCCUUGUGCCUAGGAAAUACUGCGGGACUACAUAACAUCACGUUUGGACCCAAGAGGAGACCAACAUCACGUAUGGACUACACAAGUACUAAAUGGGCUUAGUUUAAGCAAACCAGACUAUCAAAUGUUUGAUCACAACUUCUCAUGACAGAUCAGUUUAAGCUAAUGAGUUCCACAAAUCAUCAUUACGUAGUCAAAUAAGCAUGCACGGUGCAUGCAGGGCCAGAGAGAUUUCUUGAUAGAAAAAAGAAUAAGAAAACUCGGAAAGAAAGGGAAAAAAAGUGGGGGGGUGGAAAGAAUGGGAAGAAAUAAGAAUGGAAGGAGUCUAAAAGACCUUGGCAACAUCCUUCAUGAGACCAGGAUUGGCACGGCAGAAGGCGGAGAACUCGCUGAAGUCGAUGUAGCCAUCGCCAUCGGUAUCGAGCUCGGCCAUCAUGCGGUGGAUCUCAUCGGUGGAGGUGGAGCCAAGGGUGCGGAGGGCCUCCCCGAGCUCGGCUGAUGAGAUCUUCCCGUCGCCAUUGGCAUCGAAGCGCUUGAACAUCCUCUCCAUCUCUGGUGUCACUUCUCCCAUCUUUCUUAGCCUCAGCAGUGUACUGGGAGUAACUUCUUCUUCUUCCUUCUUUCUAUCUCUAGGUGUGUCCGGAGCCUCGGGGAAGAGGGGUGGUGAGAGAGAAGAGAGAGAGGAGGUGGCAAGGAGGGCAGGUAAUCGAAGGCAGGGAAUGUAGGAGAAAUAGUUGGAUCUCCCUUUUGACGCGGGUUUUCGUUCUGAACAAUAGAAUUCUCCCCUGUUUUAUUCUAUCUUUUUUUUAAUAUAUUUUAUUACUGCCAAUAUCACGACCAUCUCGAUAUCGAAUUUCAUACCAAUGCCACUCUAUCAUUGUAUUGGUACAUCCGAUACGGCAUCGGUUUAGUAUACUAAAUAUUAGUAUGCCUCAUACCGUAUAUUAGUAUCGAACCGAUACAGUAUGAUACGUCUCUUAUUUAGUAUCUUUUAUAUGCUGCUAAUAAGGCUACCCAAUGUGUUUCAAGAUCUAUUUUGGAUAAACUAUAGAUUUCGAUUGGAUUUAUAAAAGAUAGGCUUGCAAAUAGUUUGUUUAACACCUGGCCUGAUUUAGAGAGAGACAUGCCCUGAUUUUUUUCUUUUGGGUCAUGAGUUUAGAUCUAUUUGGUUGACCAGAUUAAUUUGGAAUGGAACAUACUUUAGAGCCAUCAAAUCAUUCAAGUCGAGACAGGUCAAGCAUGAUCCAAAUCUAAACUAAUGGAAUUGGAUCUAAGUUCAUGUGGAAUAAAAAUAUACUAGGGCUCUAUUUCUAGAAGGAAAAAUGACGAUAAGGUGGAUGACAAGUUUGAGAGAAUCAAAAGAGGUUAUCUACAUGUAAUGCUAUUAAUACUGAUUCAACCUUCGUUGUGCUAUAACUAAUUCAACAACCUCGAUUUCGAUAUGCAGAUCCAAAGUGGGUGAAAAAGGGGUUAGGAAUUUCAAAGUCAUGAGAUUUUGGAUUGAGUUGGAUCAGACCAAAUCAGAUUUGAUCUAAUGUUUGAUCCAUGUUAGACCCGAGCGAAGCCCAAGUUGGAUCAAAUAUGCCAAACCCUAGCCAGUUUGCCAAAUGGACCGUUCUUUAGGACCACCCACAGAUCCAAGGAAUCAGAUCAAAGAGAUAAUAUUUCAGACCCAACAACAGAUCCAAGAGAUCAGAUCAGGCUACAACUAAAUAAGUUGGGUACGAGUUAAUCCAAAACCCAUUUGCAGCACUAGCGAAUGGUCUUUUAGCACCAUGCUCCUAGAGCCCUCGUCUAUGGCUAACUACGCUGGUCAUCCCUGGUGGGACAGAAAGCUGGCCAAAGGCAAGAUGAUUAAGAAGCACAAGCUUGGCUUGUUAAAUUGUUGUGUAACGGAUAUUCGAACUAAAGCAGAAUUUAACUAGAGAUGCUCAAUUUUAGCUUAUUUCUCAGUGCAAAUGCUUGAACGAGCCUAUGGGUGCCAAAUCCAGUUUCUAUUUAUCAUGCAAGCCCAAGUAUUGGCUAGCCUAUGAAUCAUGCUCGAGGCUUUCAAUUGAACAAGCUCUAUAGCUAAAUCACCAAAGCCCUGUCUCAAAAUUAUGGUGACAUAAUCCUAAUUUCUGAUUGGGAUCGACAAAUGAAACAUACAAACAGUUCGGUACAUCGAAUGGGGAGUAACAUUUUGCUUCCUGUUUUCAAUGGUAGAGGAAUUCUGGGCCCCCGAAAUAUGCUUUGAUUCCAUUCAAGAGCUUUGUCUACAAUACUAAUAAUAUGUUACUCAUAAAAUUUACAGAAUUCAUUCAGCUCAUAUAGCAGGCUAACCAGACUUUUCCAAGUGAACACUUACAAGCAAUACUGAACAAGGUCCUUGUACCAUAAUUCAAUGAGACAAAGUAAUGGAAUGUAUCUAAUGGUGCUUUCCUUCACUGUUAAGAGGAUAUCUAAUACUUAUUUUGUAUAGCCACCCAAAUUAAAGGUAACUCCUUCUGAUAACGCGAACAAGAGCUGCCUGCUGGUGUUGAUAGGCCUAUAAAGAAUCGCAACUGCAACCAUCAAACUGCUGGGUAGAUAUUCCUCUUCUAAUCAUAAAGCCCUUCUUCAUACCAGAUAUCUACCAAAAAGUCUACCAUUUCCUGCAUAGUUAUAGUUGCUCAAAGUGUUAUUUUUAAUUAUGCAUACAGUCAAAAAGGAUAAAGAUCCAACAAGAAGGCACCUCAAAAUUCAAAAUGGAAAAGCUAUAUAAAUAUUAAAUACAGGUGCCAUAACUUACAGAUAAUGGGAUUGGCUGAGGAAAAGGUUGACCAACUGACAGUAAGUCAUCAUAUGUAGUGCACCAGCUAGAAGGGAAAUAAAGUUCGCAAUGAAUUAGACGAUAAAGGAAUUAAAUAAAUGAUAACAGAUAAGAUCUUGCUUAGGAUCACUGCAAAGAACUUAUGCAUGAAUCUUGUAACACAAUACUAACCACCAACAAGCUUUUUCCCAACUAUCUUAACACCUUUCAACACCUAUAUAGAAAUGUAAGAAAAUAGGAACAGAAAACAUCUUUUUGCAGGAAAAUGAGGACUCAUGGCAUUUUUUUUAUGAGGUCACUUUCAUUAUUUUAAAAUUUCUUGUACUGUCUAGCCAGGAUAAGGACAAAAUACAGAACAGAACCAUGCAGCACUGCAGACACAACAUUGCUUGCUGCUGACUGGCAGGAACAACCAGCAACCACAGCCUCCCCCACCUUUCCAAGGAAAAGGCACUCUGUGGGUCCAAAUAAACACACCAUGUAGCAUACUCAAAUACCCAUCAUAUCAUCUACAGCAAAGAAGUUAGGACUGACUGAAAGGUUUUCCAUUUCAUCUUUACGGAACUCAAUCACUUAACAAAAUUAUGAAAUAUUUUUGAGUAAAUCAACCCAAAGCACGAGGUUAUCGCCAUUAUGGAGUCUAGGGAGGGUCACAUGUACGCAGCUUACCCCCGCAUGCGGAGAGGCCAUUUCCGUGUCUUGAACACAUGAUCUCUAGAUCACAGUGGAGCAACAUUACCAUCGCGCCAAGGCUCACCCUCUAUUGAUAAUGCUAGAUAUAAAUAUUUACAUCAAAAAGUAGUGCUUUUUAUAAAACAAGAAUUCUCCUCCAUUAUAAGACAUAAAGAUGAUAAUGCAGCAUAAGAUGAUAUAAAGAUGCCCACAUAAGGUCAUAAAUUAGGCCAGGUUAGAGAGUUCGAUCAACAAACAGAAAGCAGGUGGGAAGAAAAUAGGAGUGCUUCUAUUAUUACAAAAAAAUUGAAGCAGAAAAGCUUGCAUUGUUGGAUCAACUGAAUGAAUUAGAUUACCAUUCGAGAAAAAAAUGCCUUCGUAGUUAUUGAAACAAUAGAGUACAAACAUGAAAGAGUCAAAUAAGAUAUCUUACCUUAUUAUAGGUUCUCUUGAUCUUCUAUGGGAUCCAUUUGACCGAUCACCAACCCAUUCUCUUCUCAUCUCAUUCCAAGCUAUAGCAGCUGCACAACAUAAUAAGCAAAUUCCCACAGCAUUUAGCACAAAAGGGAUUUUGUAUUUUUAAACCAAAUUACAGCAAAAAAAUAGAAAUAAAUUACAAAUGGCCAAUAAAGUUAAACUUUCUCCCAAGGUAGAGAUUCUGAAGAUGGUGUAAGACCCAAGAAAGAAGAUUAUGUCUGCUAAACUCAUGGCUGCUACUCAAUUUACAUUAAUUCCAACCCCCCCCCCCCCACCACCACCACCACCACCAUUUUUUGUAAUCGCUAUUCACAAAAGUAAUAGAAAAUUUUAAUUGGAAUUGCAAAUGAAGUUUUCAGGAAAAUUGAAGUCUUACUAAUUCUUCAUAUUCUAUAUAUAACCAAUGCAAAAUCUGGUACUCUGAUUCCUGCUUAGGUUUCAACACUCAAAUAUUAUGUAUGGAUGCAAGCUUAUUUUUUGUUUCCAAUCUAAAUUUGUGUGCAUGUGUUCAUUUCCCCCCUUCAUCCGCAUGGGUUUAAGCAAUCCCGGAGGGGAAACCAGCGUUUUUUGCAAAUAUAAGUUUAAAGGGUUACUAAACCAUGGUCAAGCCAAUCUGUCAUGGAUAAAGGUGAAAGAUGUGAGUAGAAAAGACUCAGUUGAGCAGCUAUAUGGUCUUCGUUUCCCUAUUCUUUAUAAAACCUUAAGAGAGAUUCUGUAAACAAGAACAGCCAAUUAAAUGUUCAUGUUAAAAAGCAACAUUAAAAGAGGUGGCUAUUCCAUGUCAGUAUUACACUGUAAUACGAGAUAAAGUAAAAUCUAGAAGAAAGUGGGAUUAUAAAUCAGUAGACAGAUCCAACAAGAUGAAAUGGCAUUCCUUUAUACUAGGACGCAUUGGAAUUUAUAUUAUUGUGGUGUGUAGAACAAAGCAAUGACGCCUUAGAGUUACAUGUAAUGAAUCAUAAUUUACUCAAAAUCUAGUAUUACAUUCCAGUAAAUACUGACCUUGGUUGAUAAAUGAAGAGUCAUUUCCAUUUUCCUGCAAAAACUUGUUUUCUUCGCCAACAGAAGGGGCACCUGAAGACAGGUAUGUUUCAGGGGUGUGAAAAUUGCUGUUAUUGCUUUCCAUUUUGUCUGGAGUAGAUAACCAUGGCCUUUCUCUACAGAUUGAUAAGUGGCCUAUGUUCCAAUCUUGGUGGGCGUUCAAUGAUCUGUCCGUUGAUUCACUUUUGGCUAGUCCUCCCAAACAACACCUGCUCUGUAGAAAGAUUGACAAAAUUGAGCUGGUGCACUUUGUACAAUGAGUACAUACCACUAAACUUUUAUUUCAAGUAAUAUGAAACAAGAGGGUGUGCACAAACAAAUAAACAUAAACACAAGAUAAGUGCAUUAAGAAUAAUAAUGAUAACAACAAUAAUAAAAUAACUAAAAAACUUUCGACAAGAAGCACCUACCCCAUAUAAGCUAAGAGAAAGUGUCUACUGUUGGACUAUCCAUCUAAUAUCACCGAGUACAGUCUGAAUGACAAGUCACGUAGGACUAUGGAAUGGACUUCUCACUUCCAAUUAGUACGAAAGUCCCGAUCUCACCCUCCUGUUCACCAAUGUCAGCAUCAAAGUCCCAAACUUUGUGCAAAUUUUCAGACAUGCAGACUAUGGGACACGAAUCUUCCAUAAGAAAACCAAGCAACAACUAAUAAUUUAGAAAGUAACAUUUAUAACUCCAAUGCAAAUGACUGCUAAAUCUCUGAUUAGUGACUAUUUAUUUAAGUACUAUAUCUUAAAAUGCUUUUGAACUUUUAUCACAUUUUUGGGAAAGUAAAUAUAAUGACAUAUAGCUUGCAGAGGCAUCAUAGAGAAGAAGGAACAGAAAUAACAAAAGAAAACAAUUCACAACUACUAAUUCAAAAUAGCAAGUAUUAUCCACAACGGAAAACUAAAUCAAUUUAGAAAAAAGAAAAGAAAGAAAAGAAAAAAGCACCUAUACAGAGUGGACUGAGCCCGAACUACAGGUCAAUGGUAUUAUUUUUAGCAUAUAAUAAGAUGAUAGGCACCAACAAACUUUUUUUGUGGGUUCAUAACUUCUUAAGCAAAGGAUUACUAAUACAUCCAUGAGGGACUAGAAAGGGCAACUUGACACAAUAAAAGGUGGAUGCCAUAGGAUGCAACCUAUAAGUGGUAACUUAUCAUAAAAACUUAAAGGAAGAGGUUACAAAACAGUCAAUAAACCAGUUUUACCACAUAAAAACAACGGACAGCAAACUUGACCCAUGAGCAUAAUAUGAUCGUUGCAUGCAUAAGGAUGCUAAGGUGAAAUCCUGCUAGAACUUAGAACAGAAAUCAAAAGUAAUAGCUUAUAAGAAGGUUAGGAGCGGUACCGAUAAGAGCAUAGAAGGAACCAUUUGGGGCACUUUGGCCACAUGCAGCAUAACUCAGAGACUGCCCAGGGGUUUACAUUAAUUUAGAAGAUCAAAAACUAUUGAAAGAUCAAACACAGAAAUGCCAAAAUCAACGUAGAUGGAGGAAGUGGAGAAAUGAGUUUAUGACAUUUUGCUGCUUGCGUCUUGGACUUGGAUUAGAGUCAUUUCAGAAGUAUGAUACGCAAAAACAACCUCAAAUACAUAGCAAAAGGCUCUAAUUUAUGUUUAGGUAUCAACAUGUACAUCAGCAUGUUUAAUCUGUACUUUACAUUUAUGUAUCAAGGAUAGCAUUAUGUCAGAUAGCCUGUAGCUUCAUUACGUAGCAAGGAUGAAGUAGGUUUACGGUGAGGGGGUUUACAUUAAUUCAGAAGUUCAAAAACUAUUGAAAGAUCAAACACAGAAGUGCCAAAAUCAACAUAGAUGAAGUGGAGAAAUGAGUUUAUGUACAUUUUGCCGUUUGCGUCUUGGACUUUGAUUAGAGUCAUUUCAGAAGUAUGAUACACAAAAACAACCUCAUAUAGAUGGAAAAAGGCUCUAAUUUAUGUUUAUGUAUCAACAUUUACAUCAGCAUGUUUAACCUGUACUUUACAUUUAUGAAUCAAGGAUAGCAUUAUGUCGGAUAGCCUGUACUUUCAUUAUGUAGCAAGGAUGAAUUAGGUAAUUUAACCUCAGAUGGGCUCCCUGGCAGUUGCUAGAUUGAAACUUUGUUUAUCAGUCUCUACUUAAAAACAUUAUUUUCCUUUCAUUGUGUUGUAUUCAGUUGCAGUAGGCAUUUUAUGCUCACAUCCUUACAUCUUGCCUAAGUUCACAAAUAAAAACAUUUAGAGCCUGUUUGGAUGCUUGCACAGGCUAUUCAAUGAAUAUUCCUUGUAUAGUUGGUGCUCAAAAGAUGUUAGGAUGGGAAGAGAGAAACUUCUCUAAAUAGAGAGAUCUUAUGAUCAUAGAAUUCCUAAAGGAUCUGGCUAUGGUAAAUCACCUUUUAGAUGGAACAAGUAAUCCUUAUUUUUUAAGGAUUGUGCACUCAGAAGAGUUUUCGAUCCCAAUAAUUCUUCCUCGCCGGUGUCUAUCUCCUUCUCAUACGAAAUUCUGAUCCAAAGCAUUUGUUAUUUGGGCAUCCAUAACACCCCCCGC